GCCCCUAUAGCUCAACGGUAGAGCUCGGCACUGUUAAUGUCGUGAUAGAUGUUCGAUUCAUCUUAGGGGCU
This is a transfer RNA of Chaetomium globosum CBS 148.51, 71 nucleotides long. It matches the Rfam family "tRNA". Rfam says of the family: Transfer RNA (tRNA) molecules are approximately 80 nucleotides in length. Their secondary structure includes four short double-helical elements and three loops (D, anti-codon, and T loops). Further hydrogen bonds mediate the characteristic L-shaped molecular structure. tRNAs have two regions of fundamental functional importance: the anti-codon, which is responsible for specific mRNA codon recognition, and the 3' end, to which the tRNAs corresponding amino acid is attached (by aminoacyl-tRNA synthetases). tRNAs cope with the degeneracy of the genetic code in two manners: having more than one tRNA (with a specific anti-codon) for a particular amino acid; and 'wobble' base-pairing, i.e. permitting non-standard base-pairing at the 3rd anti-codon position. The record is from Rfam. Lineage: Eukaryota; Fungi; Ascomycota; Sordariomycetes; Sordariales; Chaetomiaceae.